RNAcentral lists this ribosomal RNA (482 nucleotides) under uncultured bacterium. Its description in RNAcentral is "partial 16S ribosomal RNA". It matches the Rfam family "Bacterial small subunit ribosomal RNA", at positions 28 to 507 of the family's 1533-position model. The record is from RNAcentral.
GGUGAACGCUGGCGGCGUGCCUAAUACAUGCAAGUCGAACGCUUCACUUCGGUGAAGAGUGGCGAACGGGUGAGUAAUACAUAAGUAACCUGGCAUCUACAGGGGGAUAACUGAUGGAAACGUCAGCUAAGACCGCAUAGGUGUAGAGAUCGCAUGAACUCUAUAUGAAAAGUGCUACGGGACUGGUAGAUGAUGGACUUAUGGCGCAUUAGCUUGUUGGUAGGGUAACGGCCUACCAAGGCGACGAUGCGUAGCCGACCUGAGAGGGUGACCGGCCACACUGGGACUGAGACACGGCCCAGACUCCUACGGGAGGCAGCAGUAGGGAAUUUUCGGCAAUGGGGGAAACCCUGACCGAGCAACGCCGCGUGAAGGAAGAAGUAAUUCGUUAUGUAAACUUCUGUCAUAGAGGAAGAACGGUGGAUAUAGGGAAUGAUAUCCAAGUGACGGUACUCUAUAAGAAAGCCACGGCUAACUACGUG